Molecule: ribosomal RNA, 484 nt
Filed under: uncultured bacterium
Lineage: Bacteria
Description: partial 16S ribosomal RNA
Rfam family: Bacterial small subunit ribosomal RNA
Source: RNAcentral
AUUGAACGCUGGCGGCAGGCCUAACACAUGCAAGUCGAGCGGAUGAAGGGAGCUUGCUCCUGGAUUCAGCGGCGGACGGGUGAGUAAUGCCUAGGAAUCUGCCUGGUAGUGGGGUAUAACGUCCGGAAACGGGCGCUAAUACCGCAUACGUCCUGAGGGAGAAGGUGGGGGGUCUUCGGACCUUACGCUAUCAGAUGAGCCUAGGUCGGAUUAGCUAGUUGGUGGGGUAAAGGCCUACCAAGGCGACGAUCCGUAACUGGUCUGAGAGGAUGAUCAGUCACACUGGAACUGAGACACGGUCCAGACUCCUACGGGAGGCAGCAGUGGGGAAUAUUGGACAAUGGGCGAAAGCCUGAUCCAGCCAUGCCGCGUGUGUGAAGAAGGUCUUCGGAUUGUAAAGCACUUUAAGUUGGGAGGAAGGGCAGUAAGUUAAUACCUUGCUGUUUUGACGUUACCAACAGAAUAAGCACCGGCUAACUUCGUG